GACUGCUAUCAGAGUGAGAUUAAGCCAUGCGAGUUAACGUAGCAAUACGUGGCGCACGGCUCAGUAACACGUAGUCAACAUGCCCAGAGGACGUGGAUAACCUCGGGAAACUGAGUCUAAACCGCGAUAAGUGAGGAUUUCUGGAAUGGAUCCUGACUAAAAUCUAUAUGGCCUCUGGAUUGGACUGCGGCCGAUCAGGCUGUUGGUGAGGUAAUGGCUCACCAAACCUGUAACCGGUACGGGCUCUGAGAGGAGGAGCCCGGAGAUGGGCACUGAGACAAGGGCCCAGGCCCUAUGGGGCGCAGCAGGCGCGAAACCUCUGCAAUAGGCGAAAGCCUGACAGGGUUACUCUGAGUGACUUUCGCUAAGAAAGUCUUUUGGCACCUCUAAAAAGGGUGCAGAAUAAGGGGUGGGCAAGUCUGGUGUCAGCCGCCGCGGUAAUACCAGCACCCC
This 453-nucleotide ribosomal RNA is filed under the name uncultured soil archaeon. RNAcentral's name for it is "bacterial SSU rRNA". It matches the Rfam family "Archaeal small subunit ribosomal RNA", at positions 25 to 485 of the family's 1478-position model. The record is from RNAcentral.